GUCUACUGUGAUGAGGGCUGGGUCCCCUACUCCCUGUCUUCCCACAUUCCAGGCAGAGGGCUGAGCUCUUCUCUGCAAUCAGCCUAGGCUCAGGGCUGCGGUGCCAGGGGAAGUGACUCCACUCCACACCUGUCAGGACCUGGCUCCCUUCAAGUUUCCCUUGCUGAGUAAAUUAACAUGAGCAGGAGUGUAGAAAGAACUUGUCCUACUUCACAAAUUACAUGUUAAGACCCCAACUAUUUGAGGACUGCAGGACACGGUCCAUAAAUAUGGCUGCCUCCACCCAUGACUUCUGCUUGGGGUGACGAAGUUGAUGGGGUCCUGUCCUGUGCCAGGCACUGUGCUGGUCUCUGUGGAUUGCUGAGAGCUCACAUGAGUAUUGCCUGCCUUGUGCUAUGAGGAAAAAAAUAAAAGGGAAAGAAUAGGUACCUUGUGUAAAAUCAUACAACCAAAGUUCAAAUCCAGGUCUAAUGCAAAGUCUAUGAUGUACAGAAGACCUUUACAAUGGCAUUUUGAUCAAAUUCAGAGCCCUCUUUCUAAUGUUCUAAUACCUGAGGUUUUCCUCGGGAGAGUCUGUUCUGUCACUCUCAGCUGUGGGGGUUCCUGUAAGGGCAGGAACUGUUCUGCAGCCAGCCCACCCCAGCUCUUCCUGCACUAUGCUGCUGAGGCAGGUGAAUCACUUAAUUAGUCUUGGGUUGAAAUCCACUUUGUCUGCAAAUAGAAUAGCUACCCCUACUUUUUUCCAGGUUCUGCCAGUCUGUUUCUAUUGAUUGGUGAACUGAGACCAUUAACAUUGAUGGUUCUAACUGAUAUGUAUUGUCUUACCUUUGUCAUGUUAUUUUUCUGCUGUUGCCUUCCUUCUUUCCUCUUUAAUUUCUUUUUUUGGGGAGAGGGGUACUGGGGAUUGAACUCUGGACAUUGUGCUUGUGAAACAGGCGGCAGAACCACUGAGCUAAAUCCCCGGCCCAACUCUUUAAUUUCCUGCCUUGCCUGGUGGGUUCAUUUUGUUGUGGUUCUUAGACUUGUAAUCCUUGUUAUCUCUUUGUAGAAUAUCUUUCGGAGCCCUUUGGAGUGCUGCUUUGGUACUCAUGAAUUUCUUCAAGUGUUCUUUGUCAUGGAAGUAGCUUAUUUCUCCAUCAAUUUUGAAAGAUAGUUUUGCAGGAUACAUCAGUCUGGGUUGGAGGUUGUUUUCCUUUAGGGCUUGAAAUACUUCACUCCAAGGUCUCUUUGACUUGAGGGUUUGGGUUAAGAAGUCUGCUGUGAUUCUGACGGGCUUUCCUUUAUAGGUGAUUUGUUUCUUUUCUCUAACAGAUUUUACUAUUCUGUUCUUGUGUUAAAUUUCUGGAAUCUUGACUAUUACAUUCCUUGGGGAAGUUUUAUUUUUUUUUGAUCAUGGCUAUUUGGAGUUCUAUAUGCCUCAUUUAUCUGUAUGUCAAAUUCUUUUUUUUUU
Molecule: long non-coding RNA, 1450 nt
Filed under: Heterocephalus glaber (naked mole-rat)
Lineage: Eukaryota; Metazoa; Chordata; Mammalia; Rodentia; Bathyergidae
Description: lncRNA (ENSHGLG00100042682.1)
Source: RNAcentral